UAAUACGAAGGGGGCUAGCGUUGCUCGGAAUCACUGGGCGUAAAGCGCACGUAGGCGGACUCUUAAGUCGGUGGUGAAAUCCUGGAGCUCAACUCCAGAACUGCCUUCGAUACUGAGAGUCUCGAGUCCGGGAGAGGUGAGUGGAACUGCGAGUGUAGAGGUGAAAUUCGUAGAUAUUCGCAAGAACACCAGUGGCGAAGGCGGCUCACUGGCCCGGUACUGACGCUGAGGUGCG
This 235-nucleotide ribosomal RNA is filed under the name uncultured bacterium. Its description in RNAcentral is "partial 16S ribosomal RNA". It matches the Rfam family "Bacterial small subunit ribosomal RNA", at positions 521 to 755 of the family's 1533-position model. The record is from RNAcentral.